CAGCUCUCCGAGUGGUGUGGAUGUUUAUUGGGCCUAAAGCAUCCGUAGCUGGCUAAGUUAGUCCCUUGUUAAAUCCACCGAAUUAAUCGUUGGAUUGCGGGGGAUACUGCUUGGCUAGGGGACGAGAGAGGCAGACGGUAUUUCCGGGGUAGGGGUGAAAUCCUAUAAUCCCGGGAAGACCACCAGUGGCGAAGGCUGUCUGCUAGAACGCGCCCGACGGUGAGGGAUGAAAGCUGGGGGAGCGAACCGGAUUAGAUACCCGAGUAGUCC
RNAcentral lists this ribosomal RNA (270 nucleotides) under uncultured archaeon. RNAcentral's name for it is "partial 16S ribosomal RNA". It matches the Rfam family "Archaeal small subunit ribosomal RNA", at positions 477 to 747 of the family's 1478-position model. The record is from RNAcentral.